Long non-coding RNA from Myotis brandtii (Brandt's bat), 743 nucleotides. RefSeq lists it as uncharacterized. The record is from RefSeq and is a predicted model, not a curated record. NCBI's taxonomy places the organism in Eukaryota, Metazoa, Chordata, Mammalia, Chiroptera, Vespertilionidae. The transcript has 3 exons.
CCCGCAGGCCCCGGGGCAGCCGGGGGCUGGCAACUUUCUUUCCAUGUUUUGGAGCAUCAGAGAGGGUCUAAGUGCCAGUUUGAUUUUCCAGCAAAUCACUCACUGCCUUUGGACUCAGGAUGGCAGCACCGACCCCCACGAACCUGUUGUGCUGUCACAGUAUUACCAAGGCAGGCGAGGUCCUAAAUGAAAGCAAAAGAUCGACAGCCUACCUGAGAGACUUUGCCAGAUCCAGUUGUGGUAAACACAAAUUUUGCAAACUGAUAACACUGAAAGCACAUCUGGGACUUGGUACACAAGCAUGCUGUGGCCUAUGUGACGACUACUGAAGCAUGAAUACAUACUGCCAAGUUGUACCGGGCAGGACAAAAAAUGUGAUCUGAGGCAUUCAAGCGCGUUGGACACCCUCGUGCCAUGAAAGGAACUAAAUCCAUCCCUCUUCAAGUCAGGCAGCAACUCCUCUGUCACAGCACAGGAUGUCUCUGAACUGGAGUUGUUGGUUACAUUUCUGCAUCUGCACUAGAGAGUGAGCUCCUAGUCUUUGUCUCUGGAGAGCCUAAAGAAGAAAGGCAAUGGAUUUUAUCCUGGGAGCAAAUUCUACUCUUGUGCUUGGAUGCCAUGGUGAGAAGGGUUGUGGGGUCGCAUCAAGGUUUGGCAAGAAAGAAUACAAGAUGAUUAAUAAUUGAGUCUCCUUGUAUGCACAUAUGCAUAACCCAUGGACACUGACAAUAGGAUGCUGAAGG